This 2819-nucleotide long non-coding RNA is filed under the name Homo sapiens (human). Its description in RNAcentral is "HSALNT0143062". The record is from RNAcentral. Lineage: Eukaryota; Metazoa; Chordata; Mammalia; Primates; Hominidae.
AGGCAGAGAAGAGAGAGAGUGUGUGUUCUGGCUAGAGGGAGGAGCAUGUGCCAGUUAGAAAGGAGCCUGGAGCUAGAGAUGAACUCUGGGAGAGUUUGAAGAGUCUCUCCAACAGAAGGCAGCAGAAAUGACUUUUGCCAGUUCAAAGCCUACACCUCAAGAGAACUUCUGUACUUCCACUCUCUUAGAACCCUGCCAUUGCUACCAUUGGCACAAGCUCAGACUAGCCUGACGGAGGAUCUGGUAUCAUGCAGAGAACAGCCGGUCUCAGCUGAAGCAGUACUAGGCCAGGCUACCACCAGCCAACUCCUAAACUAACCAGCAGAGCUGCCAAAUGACUACAGAAACAUGAAUGAUGCAUCUGCAACUAUCUGGGAUCAGCAAAACUAUCCAACUAAUUCAUUAGCAAUAAUAAAUGCUUAUUAUAUUAAGCCACAGAUCUGGGGGCUAUUUGUUACACAUCAUUGCUAACUGAUCUAGCAAAAUGCAUGCAGAAGGCCAGCUUGUUUUGACUUUUUGUUGGGUAGCAUAAGAACCACCUUCUGAUUUGAGACAGACAAGAAGCUAAGAUAAUGAGCACCUUGAUGAAUCAAAGAGCAGGUAAGAGACAGCUCCUGCUGUCAUUCCUGAACUGUGAGCGACAUGAGCACCUUCACUCAGGAGAUUUAAGACCAGAAGCUUGUAGAACCAUGAUCCUGGCCUGAUGAAGGCUGAACGGUAUCAAGAGGCCAGCACUGCCAUAGAGAAAACUGAGCUGACACAGUCUUCCUGCCUUAGACCUUGCCUGCCUGUAGACAGUGACUAUGUCUUACUCUCCUCUCUUCUCCCAGCACCUGUAGAGGUGCUUGGCACAUAAGAGAUGCUCAGCAAAUGUGUGUUGACCACCUGCAUCCAUACUGUACCUUCUCUUUGGAGAAGCUGAGGGGACAGGAAAGAUAGAAGCAUCAUCAUGGACCAAAUCUCCUCUCGGUCCUUCCUGGUGAGAAGGCUCCUCCUGCAGUGCUUCAGUGUCACCUUGACUAUCUGGAGAAGCAAACAAAGGAAGAAAAUCCUGUGAAAUUGACAUGUGGUGGCAAUCGAGCCUCUACCUUAUGCCAGCCCUGUGGCAGGCACCAUAAGUGGUACAAAGAGACUAGAAGACAGACUCUGCCAGCAUAAAACUUAACAUCUUAUUGGCAGAAAUGCCAGAUACAUCCUUCAUUUUUCUAAAACUUAUGUAUCUUCUGUUUCCAAAAAAGAACAGAUUUAUGUGGAUGGGACUGUGAAAAGAAAAAUCGGAUUGUGAAUCUAAAGUGUAAACUAAAAAUAAAAUCCUAAGCAACCCCCUCCCCCACCCAAGGGGACCCCAGAAAAAUCUUAAAAACUGAGUUUCUGGCUGGGCACGGUGGCUCACACCUGUAAUCCGAGCACUUUGGGAAGCUGAGGCAAGUGGAUCACCUGAGGACAGGAGUUUGAGACCAGCCUGGCCAACAUGGUGAAACCCCCUCUCUACUAAAAAUACAAAAAUUAGCCGGGCAUGGUGGCAGACACCUGUAAUUCCAGCUACUUGGGAGGCUAAGGCAGGAGCAACGCUUGAACCCAGCGGGACAGAUGUUGCAGCUAAGCUGAGAUCGCGCCACUUCACUCUAGCCUGGGCAAAAGAGUGAAACUCCAUCUCAAAAAUCAAAAAAUAAAAAACAGAAAUAAAACCCUAGGUUUUUGUCAAUGAUGAGACAGGAGGUCAGGCAUACCUCAUUAUACUUCCUUUUUGUGGUUUAGACACAACAACUGACCAGCAUUAAAAUAGAGAUCAUAAGACUGACAGAAUGGACCCUGUGGCAAUAAGAUACCAAAUUACAAACAGGACCUAAAGUCAUGACAGGCAAAGCUUAAGUCAUGCACUCCUAUACUUAAAAAUAAAACUGUGUUCUAACUGCCACAGGUUUUUCUUUUUCUCUAGCAGCUGCACAAGCACCAGCCUCAAGAUAAGCAAUAAACGAUUUACUGCUUGCCCACCACUGACAGACACUGAAUAACUGACUCCCAGCCCCUGUUCUACAAGCUAUAACUACAGCUUUAAUUAGACAAGAGACUGACUUCAGUGACUUUCUCCUGAUAAAAAGACCACAGACAGGCUGGGCACAGUGGUUCAUGCCUGUAAUCCCAGCACUUUGGAAGGCUGAGGCAGGCAGAUCAUGAGGUCAAGAUAUCGAGACCAUCCUGGCUAACGUGGUGAAACCCCAUCUCUACUAAAAAUACAAAAAGUUAGCUGGGCGUGGUGGUGGGCACCUGUAGUCCCAGCUGCUCGGGAGGCUGAGGCAGAAGAAUCGCUUGAACCCAGUAGGUGGAGAUUGCAGUGAGCCGACAUUGUGCCACUGCCCUCCAGCCUAGGGAGACAGAGCGAGACUCCAAGACUCCAUCUCAAAAAAAAAAAAAAAAAAGAAAACAAACAAACAAAAAACACAGACCAUAGACUCGUUCUGGCUGUUUAAAGAGUCUGCACACUUGAGUGCUUUUGUUUCUUAAAAAGAUCUUUUUACAUAUAGGGCCUAAUUCUAAUACAUUUAAAAAUCAAGUCUCCACCCCAAGGUAAAUUUGGGUCAUAUAUAACAUGCACGUGUGUUCAGUACACAUGCAUCAAGACCACCUUCUUGAAUAUUCAUAGCUCCUCCUGUAACCUGUAAUUACAUAUAUCUGGCUAACCAUUUCAGUUUGAAUUCCUGUCUUACUCUUCCCUUUCUGGAAGUGUCUGUCUCUGCGCUCUGUGGGAGGCUAUGCUUCCCAGACCAUCAAAAUGGGCACCUGGCAGGCUGUAACCCUUCAUAAAAAAUAAAGUCUAC